CAGAGAGGCCUGUCAGAAACAUACCCUGCUGGCAUCCUGAUCUUGGACUUCAGCCUACAGAACUGGCUCCUUAGAUGACUGCGCUAGGUACAGCAACUUGGCCAGUGUGAAAACAACAGUGAGGACCCAGGUUCCAAUCCCCACUCCGUGGCUUAUCAAAAACUGUACACAACCUUCUCUCAUUGCUUGGGAACAGUAGCAACUGGAUUCAGCCCUUCU
This is a long non-coding RNA of Artibeus jamaicensis (Jamaican fruit-eating bat), 219 nucleotides long. RefSeq lists it as uncharacterized. Lineage: Eukaryota; Metazoa; Chordata; Mammalia; Chiroptera; Phyllostomidae. The transcript is spliced from 3 exons. The record is from RefSeq and is a predicted model, not a curated record.